GAUGAACGCUAGCUACAGGCUUAACACAUGCAAGUCGAGGGGAAACGACAUCGAAAGCUUGCUUUUGAUGGGCGUCGACCGGCGCACGGGUGAGUAACGCGUAUCCAACCUGCCCAUCACUUGGGGAUAACCUUGCGAAAGUAAGACUAAUACCCAAUGAUAUCUCUAGAAGACAUCUGAAAGAGAUUAAAGAUUUAUCGGUGAUGGAUGGGGAUGCGUCUGAUUAGCUUGUUGGCGGGGUAACGGCCCACCAAGGCGACGAUCAGUAGGGGUUCUGAGAGGAAGGUCCCCCACAUUGGAACUGAGACACGGUCCAAACUCCUACGGGGGGCAGCAGUGAGGAAUAUUGGUCAAUGGGCGAGAGCCUGAACCAGCCAAGUAGCGUGCAGGAUGACGGCCCUAUGGGUUGUAAACUGCUUUUAUAAGGGAAUAAAGUGAGUCUCGUGAGACUUUUUGCAUGUACCUUAUGAAUAAGGACCGGCUAAUUCUGUGCCAGCAGCCGCGGUAAUACGGAAGGUCCGGGCGUUAUCCGGAUUUAUUGGGUUUAAAGGGAGCGUAGGCCGGAGAUUAAGCGUGUUGUGAAAUGUAGACGCUCAACGUCUGCACUGCAGCGCGAACUGGUUUCCUUGAGUACGCACAAAGUGGGCGGAAUUCGUGGUGUAGCGGUGAAAUGCUUAGAUAUCACGAAGAACUCCGAUUGCGAAGGCAGCUCACUGGAGCGCAACUGACGCUGAAGCUCGAAAGUGCGGGUAUCGAACAGGAUUAGAUACCCUGGUAGUCCGCACGGUAAACGAUGGAUGCCCGCUGUUGGUCUGAAUAGGUCAGCGGCCAAGCGAAAGCAUUAAGCAUCCCACCUGGGGAGUACGCCGGCAACGGUGAAAC
Molecule: ribosomal RNA, 882 nt
Filed under: uncultured bacterium
Lineage: Bacteria
Description: bacterial SSU rRNA
Rfam family: Bacterial small subunit ribosomal RNA
Source: RNAcentral